GACGGAGGGAGCAAGCGUUGUCCGGAAUUACUGGGCGUAAAGAGCUCGUAGGCGGGGGCUUAAGUCCGGGAGUAAAUCCAUCGGCUCAACCGGUGAAUCAUCCUGGAUACUGGGCUUCUUGAGGACAGGAGAGGAAAGGGGAAUUCCUAGUGUAGCGGUGAAAUGCGUAGAUAUUAGGAGGAACACCUGUGGCGAAGGCGCCUUUCUGGCCUGAUCCUGACGCUGAGGAGCGAAAGCCAGGGGAGCGAACGGG
This 253-nucleotide ribosomal RNA is filed under the name uncultured bacterium. RNAcentral's name for it is "partial 16S ribosomal RNA". It matches the Rfam family "Bacterial small subunit ribosomal RNA", at positions 524 to 776 of the family's 1533-position model. The record is from RNAcentral.